RNAcentral lists this ribosomal RNA (200 nucleotides) under uncultured bacterium. RNAcentral describes it as "partial 16S ribosomal RNA". It matches the Rfam family "Bacterial small subunit ribosomal RNA", at positions 328 to 539 of the family's 1533-position model. The record is from RNAcentral.
ACGCUCGACACCUACGGGAGGCAGCAGUUGGGAAUAUUGGACAAUGGGGGAAACUCUGAUCCAGUGACGCCGCGUGAAGGAAGAAGGUCUUCGGAUUGUAAACUUAUUUUGUCAGGGAAGAAAAAAUGACUGUACCUGAAGAAAAAGCACCGGCUAACUACGUGCCAUCAGCCGCGGUAAUCUGAGCGGGCUGGCAAGGC